Molecule: long non-coding RNA, 935 nt
Organism: Ictidomys tridecemlineatus (thirteen-lined ground squirrel)
Lineage: Eukaryota; Metazoa; Chordata; Mammalia; Rodentia; Sciuridae
Source: RefSeq, a predicted model, not a curated record
GAUCCAGGGGAGGAGGCUGCCAGGCUGAAUUGUGUGUGUGGGGUCACCUUCCUAGUGAUUACAGACUUCAUGGACCCUUACCCCUCCUGCUCUGACCUGUGUCAGGGCUCCUCAUUAUUCUAAGCUGCUGGGCUCAGCCCUGGGUUAGGCUGUCCUUUUCCAGAGACUUAAUCCAUUGCCUUCCCCACCCCUUCACUCCUCCCUGUUCCUGAUCUUCCCCAGCUGCUUCCUCCAUGGGGAGGAGACACCAAGGCAACCAGUGGGCCUCCUUAGCCUGAAGAAGGGCUGCUGGUCCCCUGAGACUCCCCAUGUAGCAGCUUCAAGGGUAGUAGGGGCAGUUCUAAACCCCUUCAUCAGGGGUAGGGGACUAGUACCCAGCAGGGUACUGAGGUUCAGGUGGGGAGCCCAGAGAUCUCUAUCUGAUCUGGGGCUGUUUGAAGGAACAAGAUUUCAAAACACUUUUAGGGGAGAAAAACUUGGGCACAGCUUGCCCAAGUUCGAGCCAGGGAGCAGUAACACUGGACUCAAGCCCAGGACUUCUCAUGGAACCUGGCCUCUUCUUCACAGCUCCAGGUGAGGGUACAUCGGGAGGUCUAUGUGGGCGUGUGUCCUCCAAGGGUGGAACAGUAACCUCGCAUCUUCCCGGUCGUCUGGACCUCCUAUUUUCUCAUAGUCCCUUCUGAAGGAAACCAGCAAGAAAAAGAAGCGCAGAGGCAGGGGUCCUCCGCAAUCUUUUGCCUUCUAAGGACAAUGUUCUCUGGAGCGCCUUCUACCGGUCGGCCGCAGACCUCCCACGCUAAGGCAGAAGUUGGGACACUACCCAUUUAUCUCCCUCUGCCUACUCAACAGAUCCCAACUUAGAUGGAAAGAAAAGAGAUUUUUCCACAAAAGAGGUUUACCACUGCUUGAGGAAGGAAUAAACAUGCUGAAAACUC